UCCAAAUGAUACUUCUUCUAACAUUGCUGCACUGUUGGCAACAUUGCUGCACUGUUAGCAACAUUGCUGCAGUGCUGGGAACAGUGCAGCAAUGUUAGAAGAAGUAUCAUUUGGAA
Strigamia maritima is the source of this 116-nucleotide non-coding RNA. The record is from Rfam. Lineage: Eukaryota; Metazoa; Arthropoda; Chilopoda; Geophilomorpha; Linotaeniidae.